This 263-nucleotide unclassified non-coding RNA is filed under the name plant metagenome. RNAcentral describes it as "partial contains small subunit ribosomal RNA, internal transcribed spacer 1, and 5.8S ribosomal RNA". The stretch from base 1 to 54 matches the Rfam family "Eukaryotic small subunit ribosomal RNA", at positions 1778 to 1831 of the family's 1831-position model. The record is from RNAcentral.
CGAAGUAAAAGUCGUAACAAGGUUUCCGUAGGUGAACCUGCGGAAGGAUCAUUAUUGAAUGAAACACUUCUGGCUUUAUGCUGUUGUGCUGGCCCUUUGGGCAAUGUGCACACGGCUCUGGUCACUUGUUUCUUCUGUUCCACCUGUGCACUGCCUGUAGACACGCUGUGUCUAUGAUAUUUGUUAACACACAACAAUGUUAGUUGGCAUGUUAUAUAUAAUAAUAAAAUAUACAACUUUCAACAACGGAUCUCUUGGCUCUC